GUGAGGAAUUUUCCGCAAUGGGCGAAAGCCUGACGGAGCAAUGCCGCGUGAAGGAUGAAGGCCUAUGGGUUGUAAACUUCUUUUCUUAGGGAAGAAUAUUGACGGUAUCUGAGGAAUAAGCAUCGGCUAACUCUGUGCCAGCAGCCGCGGUAAGACAGAGGAUGCAAGCGUUAUCCGGAAUGAUUGGGCGUAAAGCGUCUGUAGGUGGCUUCAAAAGUCUCCUGUCAAAGAUCAGGGCUUAACCCUGGGCCGGCAGGAGAAACUCUGAGGCUAGAGUUUGGUAGGGGCAGAGGGAAUUCCCGGUGGAGCGGUGAAAUGCGUAGAGAUCGGGAGGAACACCAAAGGCGAAAGCACUCUGCUGGGCCACAACUGACACUGAGAGACGAAAGCGAGGGGAGCAAAAGGGAUUAGAUACCCGUGUAGUCC
This 426-nucleotide ribosomal RNA is filed under the name uncultured bacterium. Its description in RNAcentral is "partial 16S ribosomal RNA". It matches the Rfam family "Bacterial small subunit ribosomal RNA", at positions 354 to 796 of the family's 1533-position model. The record is from RNAcentral.